RNAcentral lists this long non-coding RNA (570 nucleotides) under Sorghum bicolor (sorghum). Its description in RNAcentral is "long non-coding RNA (SBIC_LNC011194)". The record is from RNAcentral. Lineage: Eukaryota; Viridiplantae; Streptophyta; Magnoliopsida; Poales; Poaceae.
UUGUUAAUUAGUAUAUAUUACCAGUAGUAGUCUUUAUCUGAGUCCCGCGAUGUGAUGACGUACGGUACACCAAAAUUCAGAGGUGCAUCAAUUCGCGGCAACUGAAAUCCGGAUCCACAAUCCGAUUUUUGAUCCCCCCCCCCUGGUUUGGAACAUGCUGGGAGAAUGUGAUCAACCCUCUGUUAAUUACCAGUACCCUUUUAUCAAAGUCCCACGAUGUGGAUGCGAUGAUGGUACACCAAAGUCAGAGGUGCCAUCAAUUCACCGCAACUGAACAGACUAUUCGCUUGAGAUUAUCAGAUGAAUCAGCAGUGUUUUUCUCUCACAACAAACCAGCCAACCGUACUUUCUGAAUAAGACGGGACAUCGUGUCAGUCUGAAAUUUGAUUUUUUUUUUUCUGUUUGCAAUUUUUUUUAAAAAAAUGAACAGCAGAGGCCUAGGGACCUGUACUCAAAGUUUUUAAUACGAGUAACCAAGGAGAUUACAAAACAAGGUCCAAAAACAGCAAAAAAGAGACAACAAAGGAGCCGAAAGAGCAAAAAAAAAAAACGACCCAACACUCAGGGAAC